ACGGAGGGUGCAAGCGUUGUUCGGAUUCACUGGGUAUAAAGGGUGCGUAGGCGGCGCGAUAAGUCAGGGGUGAAAUAUGUCGGCUCAACCGCCAAACUGCCUCUGAAACUGCCGCGCUUGAGUUCGGGAGAGGAAGGUGGAAUUCCAGGUGUAGCGGUGAAAUGCGUAAAUAUCACAAAGAACACCAAUGGCGAAGGCAGCCUUCUGGCCCGAUUCUGACGCUGAGGCACGAAAGCGUGGGGAUCAAACAG
This 251-nucleotide ribosomal RNA is filed under the name uncultured prokaryote. Its description in RNAcentral is "partial 16S rRNA". It matches the Rfam family "Bacterial small subunit ribosomal RNA", at positions 525 to 775 of the family's 1533-position model. The record is from RNAcentral.